This 349-nucleotide transfer-messenger RNA is filed under the name Clostridiales bacterium. It matches the Rfam family "transfer-messenger RNA". From Rfam's summary of the family: Bacterial tmRNA, also known as 10Sa RNA or SsrA, is named for its dual tRNA and mRNA-like properties. Its role is to liberate the mRNA from a stalled ribosome. To accomplish this part of the tmRNA is used as a reading frame that ends in a translation stop signal. Lineage: Bacteria; Bacillati; Bacillota; Clostridia; Eubacteriales. The record is from RNAcentral. RNAcentral also lists the same sequence under 1 other name.
GGGGCCGAAAGGAUUUCGACGGGGAUUUUGAACCGUGAUAAGCGAGUAGAGCUGCGGGAGCUCUUUAAACCUCCGCAAGUUUAGAAAUAAACGACAACAAUACAGAACUUCUCGCUGCUUAAUUAGCAGCCGUCCCUGCCGGAAGCACCGCGGUCCGGUAAGGGGCGUCAUUCAGCGGUGAACGUGAACGGUUGAGAGCCCUGUAAACCGUCAUGACUUAAAGGGCUACCGAUGCGCGAAGCCUGCCGUCCGGCGUCGCGAAGGGGGAAUCCCAAAAGAACGGAUACACUCGUAGAAAGUUGCGGGAAUGGGUUUUCGGACGCGGUUUCGAUUACCGCCGGCUCCACCA